Molecule: transfer RNA, 72 nt
Filed under: Dallia pectoralis (Alaska blackfish)
Lineage: Eukaryota; Metazoa; Chordata; Actinopteri; Esociformes; Umbridae
Description: tRNA-OTHER
Rfam family: tRNA (bases 8-63)
About the family: Transfer RNA (tRNA) molecules are approximately 80 nucleotides in length. Their secondary structure includes four short double-helical elements and three loops (D, anti-codon, and T loops).
Source: RNAcentral
GGUUGCCAGCUCAGUGGUAGAGUGUGUGCUCUGUAUGUAUGAUGUCCUGGGUUCAAUCCCCAGCUGCUCCCC